AUGGGCACUUCCCCAGCUUUAGUGACUGUGAUGCUGUUCAUACUUGGGAGGACCCAUGGAGAAUCAGUGAUCCAGAAACAAGGUCAAGUGACCCUCUCAGAAAAUGACUUCUUAUUUAUAAACUGCACUUAUUCAACCACAGGGUACCCCAUUCUCUUCUGGUAUGUCCAACAUUCUGGAGAGGGUCCACAGAUCCUUCUGCAAGUCACAACAGCCAACAACAGGGGAAGCAACAGAGGGUUUGAAGCUCUGUAUGAUAAAGGGACCACCUCCUUCCACUUGCAGAAAGCCUCAGUGCAAGAGUCAGAUUCUGCUGUGUACUACUGUGCUCUGCGCGACACAGUGGCAGAAGCUGCAGGGGAACUGAGCAUAAAGUCUGAGAAGUAA
Non-coding RNA from Mastomys coucha (southern multimammate mouse), 387 nucleotides. The record is from the annotation of a RefSeq genome assembly. Lineage: Eukaryota; Metazoa; Chordata; Mammalia; Rodentia; Muridae.